GAUGAACGCUGGCGGCAUGCCUAACACAUGCAAGUCGAACGAAGCGGUGCGGAUUGAGACUUCGGUUGAUUGAAACACUGACUUAGUGGCGGACGGGUGAGUAACGCGUGAGUAAUCUGCCUUAGAGUGGGGGAUAACGCUCCGAAAGGAACGCUAAUACCGCAUAACAUAUUGAGAUCGCAUGAUUUUGAUAUCAAAGAUUUAUUGCUUUAAGAUGAGCUCGCGUAUGAUUAGCUAGUUGGUGAGGUAACGGCUCACCAAGGCGACGAUCAUUAGCCGGACUGAGAGGUUGAACGGCCACAUUGGGACUGAGACACGGCCCAG
RNAcentral lists this ribosomal RNA (324 nucleotides) under uncultured bacterium. Its description in RNAcentral is "bacterial SSU rRNA". It matches the Rfam family "Bacterial small subunit ribosomal RNA", at positions 28 to 334 of the family's 1533-position model. The record is from RNAcentral.